Molecule: unclassified non-coding RNA, 335 nt
Filed under: soil metagenome
Description: partial contains 5.8S ribosomal RNA, internal transcribed spacer 2, and large subunit ribosomal RNA
Rfam family: 5.8S ribosomal RNA (bases 1-120)
Source: RNAcentral
GAUGAAGAACGUAGCGAAAUGCGAUAAGUAGUGUGAAUUGCAGAAUUCAGUGAAUCAUCGAAUCUUUGAACGCACAUUGCGCCCUUUGGUAUUCCUUAGGGCAUGCCUGUUCGAGCGUCAUUUAAACCUUCAAGCCCUGCUUGGUGUUGGGUGCCUGUCCCGCCCCCGCGCGUGGACUCACCUCAAAUCCAUUGGCGGCCCCCGCAAGGCCACGAGCGCAGCAGAAACGCAAACUCGUGUGCCCGGCGGGCGGCUCCCAGAAGCUACACCCACCAUUUUGACCUCGGAUCAGGUAGGGAUACCCGCUGAACUUAAGCAUAUCAAUAAGCGGAGGA